RNAcentral lists this long non-coding RNA (469 nucleotides) under Astyanax mexicanus (Mexican tetra). RNAcentral's name for it is "lncRNA (ENSAMXG00005010173.1)". The record is from RNAcentral. Lineage: Eukaryota; Metazoa; Chordata; Actinopteri; Characiformes; Acestrorhamphidae.
GUUAGGUGUUAGUUGUUAAGCCACGACUUACAGACUUGUGGUGCCGCCGGAUUUAUGUUUGUUUAACCUAACUGGUGCUAGUUUAGAAAGGACAUUAGUCGAGACUUUUACACACAAACUUCAGAAGGAAUUUAUGCUAAACUGCUUCAACCCUGUCCAGGUGUAAACUGAACCUGAGGAGCGUGCACGUGCUGCAGGUGCUGAAGAGGGACAGAGCGCGAGGGGGAUUUACCGGUUUUAAACCUCACCUCCCACACACAACUGAAUAAACUGUGGUUCCUACACCCUACCCAAUGGAGUGAUUCUUCUGCCUACUGCAGAAUACUAACACAACAAGACACAGACAGAUAAGCUAGAGGUGCACCCAGAGCCUAGUUUGCUGAUUCAUCUGCCAGUAAAGCUAACAACAACUAAAUACAGACAAUUCAGGGAACUCAGGGUGGUGGGUCACUACUGGCUCAGUUCUGAA